GGUGGGCAUCGCGGUGGCCCCGAGGACACGCUCCCUCCGACGUGCGCCCCGGGGUCGUGCUGGGACCCACCGGCGGUCGUGGGCACCGGCGCCCGGGCGCGCGCGCGCGCGCGGUGACCUCGCGGGGUGGCCCGCUGCGCGCGUCUGCCGAGAGCGGACCCUGAGCGCGCGCCCUCCCCCACCCCGGAGGACCGCUCGGUAGUGACCGGAGGGAACGGUCAGGGCCCCCGGGGUCCUUCUGCUCCAACAGGGUCCAUGAGAGAGGAAGUGGGAUGUAAGGACCUGGUCCUCACUCUGCCAUCAUCCCCUUGGCAUCGCUGGUCCACUAUGGUGGCUUCCUGCACCCUUCUCCCCAUACCCACAAGGGAGACCCACAGGAUUCGAGCUUCUGUCUGUGUUUUGCUUGUGCCUGGACCUGGCGAAACCUCCAUGGUGAUCGAUCCCCACUCUGCGUGGAUGGGACAGCCGUCCUCAACAUUCUUCCUUGGACAUGCUCACCGAUGGUACUUACACAAGCCCCUCAUGCCCACAGGCGACCCAGGUAUCCACAGAAUUCAGAA
This is a long non-coding RNA of Equus quagga, 560 nucleotides long. RefSeq lists it as uncharacterized. Lineage: Eukaryota; Metazoa; Chordata; Mammalia; Perissodactyla; Equidae. The transcript is spliced from 3 exons. The record is from RefSeq and is a predicted model, not a curated record.